This 253-nucleotide ribosomal RNA is filed under the name uncultured bacterium. RNAcentral's name for it is "partial 16S ribosomal RNA". It matches the Rfam family "Bacterial small subunit ribosomal RNA", at positions 524 to 776 of the family's 1533-position model. The record is from RNAcentral.
UACGUAGGGUGCGAGCGUUAAUCGGAAUUAUUGGGCGUAAAGAGCGUGUAGGCGGCCUGACAGGUCUGCUGUGAAAACUCGAGGCUCAACCUCGAGAUGUCGGCGGAAACCGUCUGGCUAGAGUCCGGAAGAGGAGAGUGGAAUUCCUGGUGUAGCGGUGAAAUGCGCAGAUAUCAGGAAGAACACCUAUGGCGAAGGCAGCUCUCUGGGACGGUACUGACGCUGAGACGCGAAAGCGUGGGGAGCGAACAGG